ACGGUAGCACAGAGAGCUUGCUCUCGGGUGACGAGUGGCGGACGGGUGAGUAAUGUCUGGGAAACUGCCCGAUGGAGGGGGAUAACUACUGGAAACGGUAGCUAAUACCGCAUAAUGUCGCAAGACCAAAGAGGGGGACCUUCGGGCCUCUUGCCAUCGGAUGUGCCCAGAUGGGAUUAGCUAGUAGGCGGGGUAACGGCCCACCUAGGCGACGAUCUCUAGCUGGUCUGAGAGGAUGACCAGCCACACUGGAACUGAGACACGGUCCAGACUCCUACGGGAGGCAGCAGUGGGGAAUAUUGCACAAUGGGCGCAAGCCUGAUGCAGCCAUGCCGCGUGUAUGAAGAAGGCCUUCGGGUUGUAAAGUACUUUCAGCGGGGAGGAAGGGAGUAAAGUUAAUACCUUUGCUCAUUGACGUUACCCGCAGAAGAAGCACCGGCUAACUCCGUGCCAGCAGCCGCGGUAAUACGGAGGGUGCAAGCGUUAAUCGGAAUUACUGGGCGUAAAGCGCACGCAGGCGGUUUGUUAAGUCAGAUGUGAAAUCCCCGGGCUCAACCUGGGAACUGCAUCUGAUACUGGCAAGCUUGAGUCUCGUAGAGGGGGGUAGAAUUCCAGGUGUAGCG
RNAcentral lists this ribosomal RNA (623 nucleotides) under uncultured bacterium. RNAcentral's name for it is "bacterial SSU rRNA". It matches the Rfam family "Bacterial small subunit ribosomal RNA", at positions 66 to 680 of the family's 1533-position model. The record is from RNAcentral.